Molecule: transfer RNA, 65 nt
Filed under: Dipodomys ordii (Ord's kangaroo rat)
Lineage: Eukaryota; Metazoa; Chordata; Mammalia; Rodentia; Heteromyidae
Rfam family: tRNA
About the family: Transfer RNA (tRNA) molecules are approximately 80 nucleotides in length. Their secondary structure includes four short double-helical elements and three loops (D, anti-codon, and T loops).
Source: Rfam by way of RNAcentral
GGUGGCUUAGUGGUAGAGUACUUGCCUUGCAUGCAUGAGGCCCUGGGUUCUAUUCCUCAGCACCA